ACUCCUGUCUUGUUACGACACAACAACCAAGGAGGAAAAGAAAAAGAGAAAAGAAAACAAGGAAGAGAAAAGAAAGAGGAACACAC
RNAcentral lists this non-coding RNA (86 nucleotides) under Chloropicon primus. The record is from RNAcentral. Lineage: Eukaryota; Viridiplantae; Chlorophyta; Chloropicophyceae; Chloropicales; Chloropicaceae.